RNAcentral lists this ribosomal RNA (1344 nucleotides) under uncultured bacterium. RNAcentral's name for it is "16S ribosomal RNA". It matches the Rfam family "Bacterial small subunit ribosomal RNA", at positions 28 to 1378 of the family's 1533-position model. The record is from RNAcentral.
GACGAACGCUGGCGGCGUGCUUAACACAUGCAAGUCGAACGGAAAGGCCCUGCUUUUGUGGGGUGCUCGAGUGGCGAACGGGUGAGUAACACGUGAGUAACCUGCCCUUGACUUUGGGAUAACUUCAGGAAACUGGGGCUAAUACCGGAUAGGAGCUCCUGCUGCAUGGUGGGGGUUGGAAAGUUUCGGCGGUUGGGGAUGGACUCGCGGCUUAUCAGCUUGUUGGUGGGGUAGUGGCUUACCAAGGCUUUGACGGGUAGCCGGCCUGAGAGGGUGACCGGCCACAUUGGGACUGAGAUACGGCCCAGACUCCUACGGGAGGCAGCAGUGGGGAAUAUUGCACAAUGGGCGGAAGCCUGAUGCAGCAACGCCGCGUGCGGGAUGACGGCCUUCGGGUUGUAAACCGCUUUCGCCUGUGACGAAGCGUGAGUGACGGUAAUGGGUAAAGAAGCACCGGCUAACUACGUGCCAGCAGCCGCGGUGAUACGUAGGGUGCGAGCGUUGUCCGGAUUUAUUGGGCGUAAAGGGCUCGUAGGUGGUUGAUCGCGUCGGAAGUGUAAUCUUGGGGCUUAACCCUGAGCGUGCUUUCGAUACGGGUUGACUUGAGGAAGGUAGGGGAGAAAUGGAAUUCCUGGUGGAGCGGUGGAAUGCGCAGAUAUCAGGAGGAACACCAGUGGCGAAGGCGGUUCUCUGGGCCUUUCCUGACGCUGAGGAGCGAAAGCGUGGGGAGCGAACAGGCUUAGAUACCCUGGUAGUCCACGCUGUAAACGGUGGGUACUAGGUGUGGGGUCCAUUCCACGGGUUCCGUGCCGUAGCUAACGCUUUAAGUACCCCGCCUGGGGAGUACGGCCGCAAGGCUAAAACCCAAAGGAAUUGACGGGGCCCCGCACAAGCGGCGGAGCAUGCGGAUUAAUUCGAUGCAACGCGUAGAACCUUACCUGGGUUUGACAUGGAUCGGGAGUGCUCAGAGAUGGGUGUGCCUCUUUUGGGGUCGGUUCACAGGUGGUGCAUGGCUGUCGUCAGCUCGUGUCGUGAGAUGUUGGGUUAAGUCCCGCAACGAGCGCAACCCUUGUUCACUGUUGCCAGCACGUUAUGGUGGGGACUCAGUGGAGACCGCCGGGGUCAACUCGGAGGAAGGUGGGGAUGACGUCAAGUCAUCAUGCCCCUUAUGUCCAGGGCUUCACGCAUGCUACAAUGGCUGGUACAGAGAGUGGCGAGCCUGUGAGGGUGAGCGAAUCUCGGAAAGCCGGUCUCAGUUCGGAUUGGGGUCUGCAACUCGACCUCAUGAAGUCGGAGUCGCUAGUAAUCGCAGAUCAGCAACGCUGCGGUGAAUACGUUCCCGGG